Ornithorhynchus anatinus (platypus) is the source of this 92-nucleotide small nucleolar RNA. RefSeq annotates it as small nucleolar RNA SNORD14. NCBI's taxonomy places the organism in Eukaryota, Metazoa, Chordata, Mammalia, Monotremata, Ornithorhynchidae. The transcript has a single exon. The record is from RefSeq and is a predicted model, not a curated record.
UCACUGUGAUGAUUGCUUCCAUACCAUUCGCAGUUUCCACCAGAAAGGUUUUACCUUUGUGUUGGCUAAACCUUCCUUGGAUGUCUGAGUGA